Molecule: RNA transcript, 5902 nt
Organism: Mus musculus (house mouse)
Lineage: Eukaryota; Metazoa; Chordata; Mammalia; Rodentia; Muridae
Gene: Zranb1
Gene name: zinc finger, RAN-binding domain containing 1
Exons: 12
Source: RefSeq, marked validated
GAUAAAAAAAUAUUUUAAAAACCUGUGUUAUGCAGAUUUUAUUGCAUCAAUUAAUUGAAAUAUGAAUCCUUGGAUAGAAUUUGAAAUCCUUAAUUGCAUAGAGUAUUAGAAUUAUUAAGUUAAACAACUUAUCUAUAACAUGUUAACUUAACAUGAUAUGUAUUCACAGUUCCUUUUCAAAAUGAAGCAUUAUGUCUUAAGAGCUGGGGUCUGGAUAGAUGGCUCAGUGGUUUAGGGCAUGUAUUUUGUGGUAGAGCACUUGAUUUGGUUUCCAGCUUACAGCCAUCUGUAAUUCCUCUUCUGGCCUCUGUAGGCACAUGCACUUAUGUGCAUAUACACCCACACAGACACACAAACAUGCACAGUAAAAAAGAAAACAACUGUUAAAAAAUCCUCUCAGAACUAGUUGCCUUGAAAAUAAUUUUAUAUACCUCAUGAGAGGUUGUGACAAAUCAGGAAGAAAAAAGGCAGUGUUAAUUCUUAGGAAUGUAAAAUUAUACAUUGUCCUUACUUUGAUUGGCACAGGUAAAAAUGGCUCUCUCAGAUGAGCAUCUCUAAUGGAAUAUAGCUUUCAGUUACUAAAACUCAGUAUCCUGUCAAGUUCCAACUUCCCAGAGUAUGUAUUUCUAUUGAAAAUAGUCUAGUGUACUUCUCUCGUCUUCCUUGAAUUUCAGUUUGGAAUUGAAGUUAUACCUAUACUUUCAGAAUGGGCAGGAAAAUUCUUCAUUUAUGAUAGUCAUGAUGAUAAUUACAUAGUGCUGAAAUUUAACCCAGGGCCUUGCAUAUGGGUAACAUGCUUUCCAUUGACCGCUGCCUCCAAGGCAGUCUUGAUAUUAUUGUUAUUUUGAAUUUUAUUACAUUAAAUUUUUCAUUUUCUGUCCUUGUAUGAGUUGUAUACCUUGGCAAGCAUGGGAAGGCCAUAGGACAACUUGUAGGAGUCACUUCUCUCCAUCUAGAGUGUGGAUCCUAGGAAUUAACUCGGGUCGUCAGACUUGGCAGCAGGAAUAGCUAUUCACAGUCAGACAGAACCACUUACACGUUUUGCAGUAUCUUCCGAGGAAGUCAGAGUCUGAGCCAGCAUGAAGAUUGAAUCUUGUCUUUGGUCUGAUUUACCUUUAUUGUAACCAUGUGCAAGGUGGAGGUUAUAGCAUGGAAACUAAAAUCUUACUUCCUGCCUGACAUAACUCACUUCAAGAAGUACACAAUGUCAGAACAUGGGAUUAAGUGGGCCUGUGAAUAUUGUACGUAUGAAAACUGGCCGUCUGCAAUCAAGUGUACUAUGUGUCGUGCCCAGAGACCCAGUGGAACAAUUAUUACAGAAGAUCCAUUUAAAAGUGGUUCAAGUGAUGUUGGUAGAGAUUGGGAUCCUUCCAGUACUGAAGGUGGAAGUAGUCCUUUGAUAUGUCCAGACUCUAGUGCAAGACCAAGGGUUAAGUCUUCAUACAGCAUGGAAAAUGCAAAUAAAUGGUCAUGCCACAUGUGUACAUAUUUGAACUGGCCAAGAGCAAUCAGAUGUACCCAGUGCUUAUCCCAGCGUAGGACCAGGAGUCCCACAGAAUCUCCUCAAUCCUCAGGAUCUGGUUCAAGACCAGUUGCUUUUUCUGUUGAUCCUUGUGAAGAAUACAAUGAUAGAAAUAAAUUGAAUACAAGGACCCAGCAUUGGACUUGUUCUGUUUGCACAUAUGAAAACUGGGCUAAGGCUAAAAAAUGUGUUGUUUGUGACCAUCCCAGACCUAAUAACAUUGAAGCAAUAGAGUUGGCAGAGACUGAAGAGGCUUCUUCAAUAAUUAAUGAGCAAGACAGAGCUCGAUGGAGGGGAGGCUGCAGUAGUGGUAAUAGCCAAAGAAGAUCACCUCCAACUACAAAACGGGACUCGGAAGUGAAGAUGGAUUUUCAGAGGAUCGAAUUGGCUGGUGCUGUUGGUACCAAGGAGGAACUUGAAGUGGACUUUAAAAAACUAAAGCAGAUUAAAAAUAGGAUGAAAAAGACUGAUUGGCUAUUCCUCAAUGCCUGUGUGGGGUUCCUGAAAUUGUGCCUGCUGUCUCGAGGUCCACCCUCACCCCACAGCAUAAACCAUGCUGUGAUGUUACACAGCUACCAUAGAACUCCAGGGUAGUGUUGAGCUGGCCCAUGUGGGUUCAGGUGUUGUGGAAGGUGACUUAGCAGCCAUAGAAGCAUACAAGUCAUCGGGAGGAGACAUUGCACGCCAGCUUACUGCAGAUGAAGUACGCUUGCUGAACCGUCCUUCUGCUUUUGAUGUUGGCUACACUCUGGUACAUCUGGCCAUACGCUUUCAGAGGCAGGACAUGUUAGCGAUAUUGCUUACAGAGGUAUCUCAGCAAGCAGCAAAGUGUAUUCCAGCCAUGGUGUGUCCUGAACUGACAGAGCAAAUCCGGAGAGAAAUAGCUGCUUCUCUUCACCAGAGAAAGGGGGAUUUUGCUUGCUAUUUUCUGACUGACCUUGUAACAUUUACAUUACCAGCAGAUAUUGAAGAUUUGCCUCCAACAGUUCAAGAAAAAUUAUUUGAUGAGGUGCUUGAUAGAGAUGUUCAAAAAGAGCUAGAGGAAGAAUCUCCCAUUAUAAACUGGUCUUUGGAGUUGGCUACACGUCUGGACAGUAGACUAUAUGCACUUUGGAACCGGACUGCCGGAGAUUGUUUACUUGACUCAGUACUACAAGCUACAUGGGGCAUUUAUGACAAAGACUCGGUGCUUCGGAAAGCCCUGCAUGACAGCCUGCAUGACUGUUCACAUUGGUUUUACACACGCUGGAAAGACUGGGAAUCGUGGUAUUCCCAGAGCUUUGGUUUACAUUUUUCACUGAGGGAAGAACAAUGGCAAGAAGACUGGGCAUUCAUACUCUCUCUAGCUAGUCAGCCUGGAGCAAGUUUGGAACAGACACACAUUUUUGUACUUGCACAUAUUCUUAGACGACCAAUUAUAGUUUAUGGAGUAAAAUAUUAUAAGAGUUUCCGGGGAGAAACUUUAGGAUAUACUCGGUUUCAAGGAGUUUAUCUGCCUUUGUUGUGGGAACAGAGUUUUUGUUGGAAAAGUCCAAUCGCACUGGGCUAUACAAGGGGCCACUUCUCUGCUUUGGUUGCCAUGGAGAACGAUGGCUAUGGCAACCGAGGUGCUGGUGCUAAUCUGAACACUGAUGAUGAUGUCACCAUCACAUUUUUGCCUCUGGUUGACAGUGAAAGGAAGCUCCUCCAUGUGCACUUCCUGUCUGCUCAGGAGCUAGGUAAUGAGGAGCAGCAAGAGAAACUGCUCAGAGAGUGGCUGGACUGCUGUGUGACUGAAGGGGGAGUUCUAGUGGCCAUGCAGAAAAGCUCUCGGCGGAGAAACCACCCCUUGGUCACACAAAUGGUAGAAAAAUGGCUUGACCGCUACAGACAGAUCCGGCCUUGUACAUCCCUGUCUGAUGGAGAGGAAGAUGAGGAUGAUGAGGAUGAAUGACAACAAACCUAAGGAAAGAAAAAGACCAAGGCAUCAGGUCUGAGGUGGCCUCAAAGUUAGUGUGGUAUCCUAAACAGAAUAUGCAGCAUGGAGCGAGCCAUACCCUGCCGGAUCUGCUCCCAAGUUAUCUUUCUGUUCCACACUCACAGGAGAGAAUUGACUGCAUCUGCAUGAGGAGAUGGAGAACUUUGGUUGAACUACAGUUUGUAAAAAAGAAAAAAAAAAAAAAAAAAGAAAAGAAAAAAAAAGAAAAAAGAAAAAAAAUAACCUAAUUUUAUUGACAGAACUUUUUUUUCCUUUCAAAUUGUAAAUCUGUCUAUGAAUGUAACGCAUGUGGUUGUUUGAGAAGUUGUGUACUAGGAAAAGUGCACCAGCAUCUUCAUGUUACUGAGACCAUUUUCCCAGCAUGGGCACUCAUAAACAGCACAUAGCAGACAGACCAGUGAGAUGCUCUCUCUCUCAUUAGCACCUGACAUCCUGCUCCCACCACACCAGACCCAUUUCCCAUUGUUUUAGAGAUUUGGAAACUUUGUACAAAUUAUCCACGGCAAGAUAAAAAUAAACAAGCCUUUAUUUUAUUAAUAAUUUAGUUCCUGUUGUGCCCAAUAAAAGUAAAAAAAAAAAAAAAAAAAAAAAAUCAAACCCUUAGGAACAAACUACAAGAAAAACUAGCAAGUUUUUGGAGUGAACUUAACAUAAACAUUGUCUCUUGUUUUUUGAAGAGGGUUUUAGUUUCUGUUGUUUUCAAUUUUUCCGAUUUGCCCCUUUCAUUAUUUAGGUAUUUGUUUGGAAGAGUGCCCUGUAAAGGGGGUUCUUACUCGACUCUGGGCGGUGCAUUUGUGCACUUCUACCCUGGAUGGAUGGAUGGAUGGAAAGGGAGCAGGCUCACUCAUCCCUGGGUGGGUUAUGUGACAGUUACUUGGACUCAACCUGUUCUGUUCCCAGGCGGCCAUGCAGACAGUCUUCAGCUACUUCCUGUCUUUGUCACCUCUGCUCUAAGCAGACCCUGUAUUAGGGGCAGGCCUUUGGUUAGGCUGAUUGGGAAUACAGUUCAGUACAGAAUAAAGAUUUUUAAAAUGCAGUAAGGUGGUCAAUGCAUUGUAUGAUCAGUUUCUGUGUAGUCUGAGAAUUUUUGCAUGUUGGUUAGUUGUAGCAUUAUUUAAAGUUAAAACCAUACUUUUUAGAAAAAAAAUUUAUGGAGAGUGUUAAUUGACCACUUCAGGUAUAUGUUAGUACUGGGUAAACAUUUCUGACCUCCUCAGGCACACAACAUGUAGUGUCCUGAUAAGCACUUAGACUGAUGUGGCAAGCAGUUGCAAAGUAGCAAAUACACACAUUUCCUCUUCUCCUCCCCUUUAAUGAAAAGGCUGUGAAACCUUUAAAUCUUGUUUUUCUGAUGAGAUGGUAUUGAAGUGUAUACAACUUUUAAGUUUGCUGGAAUACUAAAAAGAAAAAACUUAUGAGCUGUUAUGUCUUUAGUUCUCUCUCUUGUGAACACUUAAUAAAAAGGUGUUCUCAGGAUGAAAGAUCAUUUAUGCUGCAUGCUAAAACCAGAAAGUAAUUUUCACAGUAGGUGACUCCAUAUAAAUGAAUUGUGGUAACAAUACUGGUAAAUGUUACUGUUCCAGUAGUUAGUGUUUUUCUACAAAUUGACUAUUUCGUUUUCAUUUUGAUCAGUGAAUGAUAACCAAGUCAAUAGAAGGCUGUCAUUCUAAGUACUUAGCAUCCAUAGCAUCUAGAAUAGCUGAUCUCCAUGUGUAGAGUUGAUUUUUCAGGAGGCAGAGAUCCAGUUAAGCAAAACCUUCCUCCCAAAUAAGCCACAGAGAGCUGAGAGGGUAACACUGGUCUCUAGGUGCAUCUGUGUUGUACCCAAACCUUGUGGUACAGAGUCAGGCUCAGGAUUGAGCCUUGUUCUGCAUAUUGUCAAUUCUUGAGUGUCCUUUCCUGAGUUCCCUCUGUAUUUAUAUUAUUUAUUUAUUUAUUUAUGACCAGUGACCCUGACCACACAUAAUUUGAUAGGUACCCAUUCUUCCCUGUGGGAAAGAAUUAAAGAAGGCUCCAUUUCUUGGACUCUUAAGAUAGGAAUGGGGCUUUCAUUAGUUUCUCUAGCAGACUGCUGGCUGUGAAAUGGCCAACCCCUUUGGGAAAUCAGCGCUAUGUUAAGCUCUUGAACUAAACCAACAGCCAUAAUUAUUGUCCCAAGAAAGUGUAAUGCCGUCCUUUGUAAAAGAUGAUACAUGGCUGGGUGGCAGGUAUAGGGAUUUUCAGAUGGACUGGACAGUAAUACUUUUAUAACUACGUGGACUUUAUGGUUCUUUUUCUAGGGUGAAACCAGUACUUUGUUUUUAUCCUGAUGUUGUCGUUCUUUGGAGUCAGUUUAUAAUCAUUUCUAAAGGACUGUUUGAGCAACCACAAUCUAAUUAAACAAAACCUAGGCACACCAUGGA